This 484-nucleotide ribosomal RNA is filed under the name uncultured bacterium. RNAcentral describes it as "partial 16S ribosomal RNA". It matches the Rfam family "Bacterial small subunit ribosomal RNA", at positions 30 to 507 of the family's 1533-position model. The record is from RNAcentral.
AUUGAACGCUGGCGGCAGGCCUAACACAUGCAAGUCGAGCGGAUGAAGGGAGCUUGCUCCUGGAUUCAGCGGCGGACGGGUGAGUAAUGCCUAGGAAUCUGCCUGGUAGUGGGGGAUAACGUCCGGAAACGGGCGCUAAUACCGCAUACGUCCUGAGGGAGAAAGUGGGGGAUCUUCGGACCUCCCGCUAUCAGAUGAGCCUAGGUCGGGUUAGCUAGUUGGUGGGGUAAAGGCCUACCAAGGCGACGAUCCGUAACUGGUCUGAGAGGAUGAUCAGUCACACUGGAACUGAGACACGGUCCAGACUCCUACGGGAGGCAGCAGUGGGGAAUAUUGGACAAUGGGCGAAAGCCUGAUCCAGCCAUGCCGCGUGUGUGAAGAAGGUCUUCGGAUUGUAAAGCACUUUAAGUUGGGAGGAAGGGCAGUAAGUUAAUACCUUGCUGUUUUGACGUUACCAACAGAAUAAGCACCGGCUAACUUCGUG